Molecule: ribosomal RNA, 714 nt
Filed under: uncultured Staphylococcus sp.
Lineage: Bacteria; Bacillati; Bacillota; Bacilli; Caryophanales; Staphylococcaceae
Description: bacterial SSU rRNA
Rfam family: Bacterial small subunit ribosomal RNA
Source: RNAcentral
GAGCGAACGGACGAGAAGCUUGCUUCUCUGAUGUUAGCGGCGGACGGGUGAGUAACACGUGGAUAACCUACCUAUAAGACUGGGAUAACUUCGGGAAACCGGAGCUAAUACCGGAUAAUAUUUUGAACCGCAUGGUUCAAAAGUGAAAGACGGUCUUGCUGUCACUUAUAGAUGGAUCCGCGCUGCAUUAGCUAGUUGGUAAGGUAACGGCUUACCAAGGCAACGAUGCAUAGCCGACCUGAGAGGGUGAUCGGCCACACUGGAACUGAGACACGGUCCAGACUCCUACGGGAGGCAGCAGUAGGGAAUCUUCCGCAAUGGGCGAAAGCCUGACGGAGCAACGCCGCGUGAGUGAUGAAGGUCUUCGGAUCGUAAAACUCUGUUAUUAGGGAAGAACAUAUGUGUAAGUAACUGUGCACAUCUUGACGGUACCUAAUCAGAAAGCCACGGCUAACUACGUGCCAGCAGCCGCGGUAAUACGUAGGUGGCAAGCGUUAUCCGGAAUUAUUGGGCGUAAAGCGCGCGUAGGCGGUUUUUUAAGUCUGAUGUGAAAGCCCACGGCUCAACCGUGGAGGGUCAUUGGAAACUGGAAAACUUGAGUGCAGAAGAGGAAAGUGGAAUUCCAUGUGUAGCGGUGAAAUGCGCAGAGAUAUGGAGGAACACCAGUGGCGAAGGCGACUUUCUGGUCUGUAACUGACGCUGAUGUGCGAAAGC